This 236-nucleotide ribosomal RNA is filed under the name uncultured Actinomycetales bacterium. Its description in RNAcentral is "partial 16S ribosomal RNA". It matches the Rfam family "Bacterial small subunit ribosomal RNA", at positions 96 to 334 of the family's 1533-position model. Lineage: Bacteria; Bacillati; Actinomycetota; Actinomycetes; Actinomycetales. The record is from RNAcentral.
UGGCGAACGGGUGAGUAACACGUGGGUGAUCUGCCCUGCACUCUGGGAUAAGCCUGGGAAACUGGGUCUAAUACCGGAUAGGACCAUGCUUUAGUGUGUGUGGUGGUAAAGUUUUUUCGGUGUAGGAUGAGCCCGCGGCCUAUCAGCUUGUUGGUGGAGUAAUGGCCUACCAAGGCGGCGACGGGUAGCCGGACUGAGAGGUUGGUCGGCCACAUUGGGACUGAGAUACGGCCCAG